Molecule: long non-coding RNA, 1188 nt
Filed under: Setaria viridis
Lineage: Eukaryota; Viridiplantae; Streptophyta; Magnoliopsida; Poales; Poaceae
Description: long non-coding RNA (SVIR_LNC008264)
Source: RNAcentral
GGCGAGUGAACGAAAAGAGGGAGGGGUUGGCAGGCACGGGAAUAAAUGCACCGUACCCAUAUAGGAACACGUACGAUACAGCUGAUGUCGAGUUGAGGUGACAGGUACGUUUUCAUGUAUAGUGCCACUAGUAUAGUAAACAAAGAGGGAAAAAUUCAGGUUGGGGCAAGAGAUCUGAUAGCUAAGGGUGCCACACGUGUGCCGGUAAGUAAUUGCACGCAUGCUGACGAUCAUGGCCAUGCUUAGUCUUGUUUUUACAAGUGUCCUCUCGUUGGAUUACGCUAGCUGCCUAGUGGUUCUACGCCAUUGUUGACGGGUCAAGACCCGAUCGAGCGAGGCGGACCGGCCCCCCACCACUGCACCUGGACAGGGACAGCGAUUCAGCGAAGAAUGUUUCACUUUUCAGCUUGCAGGAAUAGUAUUCUCCGAUCAUCUCCCAUCAUAAGUCAUCUGAGCAUUGGACGGUAGAGAAUAAAAUAAGAAUUUUGUACGUUAUUUAUUUAAAAAUAUUGGAGGCAACACAUUAAUUAAUUAAAAAUCCAAGUGAGUAUAUAUGUAAGUCGACGGCAACCGCAAUGGACUUUGGAUCAUAAUUCAACCAUAUGGCAAAGUGAACUAUGCUUCGUUGGUUAGGUUUCUUAUGAUGGAAAAUUGUCCAACUUUGACUUGGGCCUCCCGUGGUAUUCCUUUACUCCUUAGGUUGGUCCUAUGGACAUUCCCCUCGGCAUAAACAUCGAUUUUAAUAUCUCCAUCAACCUCUCACCUCGUUCUCCAAUAUACCAUAGUACAAGAAAAUAAAUGAUACAUAUGACAAUAUGAGAUAUGAUAUGUGUUGAUGACCCUUAAAUACCAAAUCUGACCGUCAAUUCCCGCAUAAAAGAUGAGUAUCAAACAUAGUGGUAGGAGUUUAUUAUUAACUAUUUUAUAAGUGUUGGUGAAUAUUUGUAUGCAGGUGAUUAAUUAUCAAAAUAAAAGGAAACACACCUAAAAGGAGUAAGAAAACACACUCCCAACCAAUCAAGUGUAAGCACACGGAUUCAUUGACCCACAAACAGGGGUAAACCGAAUCAACUUCACGCCAAUCACCAUGUACCCACUUGAGGAGCCACCAGGAAGUGUACCAGACAAAAGGCGGUGCCCGGGGGUUGGCCAACCCCUGGUUCGGCUGACCUUCUAGUGGCUCCUCAU